GUGGGGAAUAUUGGACAAUGGGCGCAAGCCUGAUCCAGCCAUGCCGCGUGAGUGAUGAAGGCCUUAGGGUUGUAAAGCUCUUUCACCGAUGAAGAUAAUGACGGUAGUCGGAGAAGAAGCCCCGGCUAACUUCGUGCCAGCAGCCGCGGUAAUACGAAGGGGGCUAGCGUUGUUCGGAUUUACUGGGCGUAAAGCGCACGUAGGCGGUUUGUUAAGUCAGGGGUGAAAUCCCGGAGCUCAACUCCGGAACUGCCUUUGAUACUGGCAAGCUAGAGUCCGGAAGAGGUAAGUGGAACUCCUAGUGUAGAGGUGGAAUUCGUAGAUAUUAGGAAGAACACCAGUGGCGAAGGCGGCUUACUGGUCCGGAACUGACGCUGAGGUGCGAAAGCGUGGGGAGCAAACAGGAUUAGAUACCCCUGUAGUCC
Molecule: ribosomal RNA, 425 nt
Filed under: uncultured bacterium
Lineage: Bacteria
Description: partial 16S ribosomal RNA
Rfam family: Bacterial small subunit ribosomal RNA
Source: RNAcentral